RNAcentral lists this ribosomal RNA (429 nucleotides) under uncultured microorganism. RNAcentral's name for it is "bacterial SSU rRNA". It matches the Rfam family "Bacterial small subunit ribosomal RNA", at positions 9 to 442 of the family's 1533-position model. The record is from RNAcentral.
GAGUUUGAUCGUAGCUCAGAUUGAACGCUGGCGGCAUGCUUUACACAUGCAAGUCGAACGGCAGCGCGGGGCAACCUGGCGGCGAGUGGCGAACGGGUGAGUAAUAUAUCGGAACGUACCCAAGAGUGGGGGAUAACGUAGCGAAAGUUACGCUAAUACCGCAUACGAUCUAAGGAUGAAAGUGGGGGAUCGCAAGACCUCAUGCUCCUGGAGCGGCCGAUAUCUGAUUAGCUAGUUGGUGAGGUAAAGGCUCACCAAGGCGACGAUCAGUAGCUGGUCUGAGAGGACGACCAGCCACACUGGAACUGAGACACGGUCCAGACUCCUACGGGAGGCAGCAGUGGGGAAUUUUGGACAAUGGGCGCAAGCCUGAUCCAGCAAUGCCGCGUGAGUGAAGAAGGCCUCGGUUGUAAGUACGUCUUUGUUCUA